UAAUAUGUCUUACUUGUUAUUGUUGUAUGGUGUUAUAAGUAUAGAAAAAGCUAAGAAGUUGUAGGGUUAGUAAUUUUUAAAGAAAAUCUAUUAUAUUAAGUAAAAGUUUAUAAGUAUUGUAAAAGAAAGGUGUUUAUUUUUAUUUAAAGUAGUUUUAAAGUUUCUUACCUUUUGUAUCAGGGGCUUUCAAUAAUAUUAAUUUAAGGUGUUGUUAUCUCGAAUCAGGAAGAGCUAUAGUAAAAGUUUUAAUUUUGUAGUAAAAAAAUAUAGAAUUUUAUUAUAGUAAUGAUAUUUUAAUCGAAUUCUGUAUAUCUAGUUGUUUCUAAAGAAAAUUAAAUUUGGUCAGUAGUUUGAGUUGGAGCUACUGGAUAAAAGCAGGAGGGAAGAGCUUCUUGUUUAAAAAUUAUAAGGCUAUAGUAAGUAUAAUUUUGAAUUAAUCUUAAAAUCAGUUAAGUUAACAGGGCGUUUUAGCUGAGAUAUUAAAUAAAUAGAUUUAAAUAGCUUUUAAUUGAAGUUAAGGAGACAGUGUGUAUGAGUUGAAUAUAUUCAGUUAAAAUGAUUGUAUAAGUAUAUGGCUUUGUUGGUUUAAGAAUUAGAAUAGUUUUGAUUUUUGUGUGAGCGAAGAUAUAAUAAAGGAACUCGGCAAAUAUUAGCUUCUGCCUGUUUAUCAAAAACAUGUCUGUAUGAAUAAAAUGUAAAGUCUAGCCUGCCCACUGAUAAUUAGUUUUAAAGGGCCGCGGUAAUUUGACCGUGCAAAGGUAGCAUAAUCAGUAGUCUUUUAAUUGAGGGCUGGAAUGAAUGGUUGGACAAGAAGCUGUCUGUCUUUGUUAUAAAAAUUGAAUUUAACUUUUAAGUGAAAAGGCUUAAAUAUGUUGGGGGGACGAUAAGACCCUAUAAAACUUGACAUAGAAAGUUGGUUUUUAAAUUAUUGUGUUAAAAUAAACCAGGCUUAUUUUGUUACGUUGGGGCGACGAGAAUAUAAAGUGUAACUGUUAGUGAAUUAAAAUAAUUAUUUUUAGUUGUUUGAUUGAUCCUUUUAUAGAGAUUAUAAGAAAAAGUUACUUUAGGGAUAACAGCGUGAUUUUUUCUGAGAGUUCUUAUCGACGAAAGUAGUUGCGACCUCGAUGUUGAAUUAAGAUAUUAUUAGGGUGUAGAAGUUCUAAUUAUAGGUCUGUUCGACCUUUAAAAUCUUACAUGAUUUGAGUUCAAACCGGUGUGAGCCAGGUUGGUUUCUAUCUUGCAAUUUUUAAAUAAUUGCCCUAGUACGAAAGGAUUGGGUAGUUGAAAAAUUUUUUAUAUUCUGAUGAAUAUUAAGUUAAA
RNAcentral lists this ribosomal RNA (1320 nucleotides) under Nematocarcinus gracilis. RNAcentral's name for it is "16S ribosomal RNA". The stretch from base 612 to 1320 matches the Rfam family "Archaeal large subunit ribosomal RNA", at positions 1423 to 2818 of the family's 2987-position model. Lineage: Eukaryota; Metazoa; Arthropoda; Malacostraca; Decapoda; Nematocarcinidae. The record is from RNAcentral.